AAGAGCUGGAAUAAAAUAAGCGCCCGGUUCCGGAUUGUGCCGCCUUCUCAGCUGCCCACAGGAGCGGCACUCGCCAUCCCUCUCCUCGUCCUCUCCCUCUCUGACACGAACAUGCACAUGCCCACACGCACCCAUGGGUUCGUGCGGCACUUGGAGAGCCACAGUCAGAUCAAGAAUAAACUUUCCCAGAUGAAGUCAGAUCUUUAAGCACAGAACUCAUGAUAGUACUGGGAUAACUCCAUAGGCCUGCAAGUACCAUCUGUCUCCUCAUCUAAAGUAAUUUCAAUUAAAACUGAGAUUAUUUCUUGUUUUCUCUCAAUCCUGUGAAGGAGAGAUGACAAGCAAAGUCAUAAGCAAAGGAAAGUGAAAAAAAAAAAGCUGGACUUGCAGCAAAAAGCUCAGCAAGAAGGUCCUCAGAAUGCUGACCAAGAACUGCAUCUUCAAAUACAUCUGAGGAACAAAGCCAUACACCUUUUUGGGACAAUUCUAUUUUCAUUUAUUUGGUUUAUAUAUAAUAAACUCUUGCUCUGGACAGUGACAUUUGGCCUUUCCAUCUGAGGACUUUUUGUCCCAGCAGAACAGAUGACCAGCAAUCAAGAAGGGCUUCUUUUUCUUCACCUUGAGCAAGUCCCUUAAUACCACUUUGCCUCAAUUUUCCCAUCUGCAAAUGUUUACUUUCCUCAGCAGAAUUGGCUGUUGAUUUACUUUUGCCUCCUGCUGAAUAACGUUCCCAAACACAAAGCGUUAUUCAGCGCUGGAAUUGGUGGUGCCGACAUUUCCUGCCCAGGCACAAAAAGACCAGCACUAUUUUUAGUGAGGGCUUUUCUUUCCAUUGUUUCUUUCUUUGUGAAGCUGCAUUUUCCAGUGCUCUUUAAUGUGGCUUUUUGUGUGUGCAUGUGUGUUCAUUGAUUGGAAAUCCUGAGGGAUGAGUUUUGGUUUCAAUUAAUUUUAUUAAUAAAGAUCACGCUAUAGACUAA
Molecule: non-coding RNA, 977 nt
Organism: Taeniopygia guttata (zebra finch)
Lineage: Eukaryota; Metazoa; Chordata; Aves; Passeriformes; Estrildidae
Source: RefSeq, a predicted model, not a curated record